UGCAUGACACUUUUGUAGCCAGCAUUGCAAGGUAUUUAUGUGCCAGAAAUGCUAAACAUUCAUAAACCCAUUCAUGCUUUAGCCACAGUGCCAGAGGACAUGCUUCCAUGCUGAUGAUGCUUGUUAAAAAUAAUGCUUUAAAU
This is a non-coding RNA of Chelonoidis abingdonii (Abingdon island giant tortoise), 143 nucleotides long. NCBI's taxonomy places the organism in Eukaryota, Metazoa, Chordata, Testudines, Testudinidae. The record is from RefSeq and is a predicted model, not a curated record.